This 309-nucleotide long non-coding RNA is filed under the name Glycine max (soybean). RNAcentral describes it as "long non-coding RNA (GMAX_LNC004204)". The record is from RNAcentral. Lineage: Eukaryota; Viridiplantae; Streptophyta; Magnoliopsida; Fabales; Fabaceae.
AAGAACCAAGGUCGUUGAAGAAAAAAAACAAUAAAAGAGGAACUACAAAAAAAUAAACUUAUUUGGAGGUGGUCACGAAUGAUCACUGCAGAGGGUCACAGACGAUCGCGGCGGAGGGCCGCAAAGGGGAAGGAGGAAGGGGGAAAGGGGUCGCGAGGCCGUGGAGGGGAGGGGGAGCCACAAGGCCGAGGAAGGGAAAAUGAGGUCAUGAAUGUAUGAGGGGAUGGGGGGAAGGAGAAGGAAGAUGAAGGUGGAGGAGAAGGGGAGUGACAGGGGAAAAAAAAGGAAGAAGAUGAAAGGUCAGGAGAG